AUCCUAAGGUCUGCCAUUGAUUGCUUUUGACUAGCGUGGAGCUUCUGUGUUAAAUAAUGUAGCUUCUAAGUUUUGUGACCCUGGUGGUAACAGGGAGCUGGCUACAAGGAUUUGGGGUGAAAUGAUAGAACAGAAAAAAUGAUUCAAGGAGUUGAAAUGGCCUUGGCUUAAUGCUCUAACCAUGGCAAGCUUAGCUAGAGGGAGAGGCGUGUGCAGGGAUGUCAAGCUCAGACUAGAAGUCGAAGGAAGAGGUAAACAGUGAGGAGGCUUUGAGACUGGACCCAGGGUGUGGUAUUCGACUUAGCUCAGGCUUUGUCACCUGAAAACAUGGAAUAACAAUUUAGCGAUUAACAUUGUUUGGAACCAAAAGUAAGCAAAGAACUAGCAGUUUCCAGGCAGUAGUGAGUAUCAAAGUUGGGUAAUAACGUCCUUUUGCUUCCAGACAGUCUGUCUAAUUCACAGCACAACUUCUGAGGGCAGAGUGAUCAAAGCCUGAGAUCUGAGUUCCCGUCAAUGACAGGCCAGUAAAACUUAAGAAAGACCCCCUCCCCCUGGCCCCCAUCUCAGCCAAGUGGGCUGGGAUUCACCACCAGGAUUUAAUUCUUGUAAAAGAUUCAAAAUCCAACUCAGGAACAGAAGCAGACACAGAAUCCUACAGAUUGACAGAGGGACAAAUGGACUGAGCUCGGGCUAAGCUCAUUUCCUAGAACCAGGCACCUGGCUUGGUGAAAGAGAAAGGAAUUCAAAUAUUUCCAGCAGAAAUUAUUGAGUGCAAGGAUUUCAAGGCUUUCGAAUCUUUGGGGGCAUGCAUUAGUUGGUUUCCACGGCUGACCAUGAUACGUGACUGAAAGCACUUGAGUGAAGACUGGGCUCACGUUUCAGAGGAUUUCAGUCCAUCAUGACAUGGAAAGUACAGAGGAGCAGUUCAGAUCAUGGCGGCCAAAGCUGCAGUAGUACCCUGGCAGGCCAGACUGCAGACGGAGGGCGUGCUUCAGUUCUUAGGAAACAGCCACACAAUGGUGCCCAUGAGGGAUCAGAGCUAGAAGAACCAUUGGGUCCUACACAAAGAAAUGAUGGUCAGAGAGACACAAGCUUGCUUGUGGAAACCUCAGGAAAUUCUAAGCCUAUUUCUUCCAUCAAAAUGAAAGGAACUCAUUGAUGAAAUCGUGAGUCCAUUAAGAUUGAGUGGUACAUCUCCAUUAAGCCAUGAUUUGCAUCAUAAAACAGAUUAAAAUGAAAAAUGGAAGCACUCUCUUGGAAAGGAAAUGUACAAAAGAACCUUUGAAGGCUCUCCGAAUGAAGACUGAAUAACACUCCACCAAGCACCAAGAAAACAAGGGACAGAGAAAGGUACUGACUGAGCCAAGGUACUGACUGAAGCCCUCAGCCAGAUAAGUGAUGUGACUCAGAGCUCAGUUUGGGGCAGACAGCUGAAGCCAGAGAACAUUCCGAGCCGUAGGUAAACACUUACAUUAAGUAUCCUGAUGGAGCAAGGGCUUCCACCGCAGCGUGGCUACAGUGGCCUGCGCUGAAGUACGUGUGGGUCGUUAUCUCUACAUUAAUGGAGUCUGGAGAGCCACCCUCUCACCCAGCUAAAAGCCUGGGCUUACAUGUGGCUCUGAGUGUAUGAAAAUAUCGUUCAUCUCAACCUUUCUCAAAAAGUCUGAGAAAAUAGUCCUGUGAGGAGAACUAUAUCUCAGGAAUCUAGAUUACUAAUUCUGAAUUAGCAAUGCAUGAAGUUCUCCAGAGUUCUGGGAGAGUGUUGGGGGAACAUCUUUUGCCUAUCAGGCUGCUUUUGUUUCUUGUACAUUUUUUACUUAGACAAGCACCAAGACCUUUGGCCAAAAAGAGAGACUGGCUUAAAGGACUGGAAUGUCUGGGAGAAUUAGCUGUUUGAUGGAAACUUGACAGAUAAAUGAGCAAGAGAAUGAUUGACGGUCAAAUUCCCCUGGAGGAACCACUGCGCUGGUGUAUGAGAGGCAGUUUGUCCCAGCUCGCAGGAACCUGUGGUACCAACUCUUCAAAAUUCCCUGUUCAGUGACUUCAUAGGAGGUUGAAAUUGGCCACAAUGGGAGUGUUUACACUGUCAAACCUGGCAGCUGUAGCAAAUCGGGCUUUUCUUUUUACUGUUCUCAGCUUGUUGCACCCACCACUAGAAAGUAUAUUAUUAAAUAUUUAUCGG
Molecule: non-coding RNA, 2182 nt
Organism: Peromyscus maniculatus bairdii (prairie deer mouse)
Lineage: Eukaryota; Metazoa; Chordata; Mammalia; Rodentia; Cricetidae
Source: RefSeq, a predicted model, not a curated record